This 258-nucleotide ribosomal RNA is filed under the name uncultured bacterium. RNAcentral's name for it is "partial 16S ribosomal RNA". It matches the Rfam family "Bacterial small subunit ribosomal RNA", at positions 524 to 776 of the family's 1533-position model. The record is from RNAcentral.
UACGUAGGGUGCAAGCGUUGUCCGGAUUUAUUGGGCGUAAAGAGCUCGUAGGCGGUUUGUCGCGUCGGAUGUGAAAACCCAGGGCUCAACCCUGGGCCUGCAUUCGAUACGGGCAAACUAGAGUAUGGCAGGGGGAGACUGGAAUUCCUGGUGUAGCGGUGAAAUGCGCAGAUAUCAGGGAGGAACACCGGUGGCGAAGGCGGGUCUCUGGGCCAAAAACUGGACGCUGGAGGCGCGACAGCGUGGGGAGCAAACAGG